ACCAAAGAGAAGUCCAAGAAGAAGCGCUGUCAACUCACCAGAAGGAUAUUUGAAUCCUGUGAGUAAUGGAACUAUGUAUCAACCGAGUACGCGACUAUCUAAUGUAUUUGCAACACGCUGUGGAACGCGAUAAAUCAAAACAACGUAAAUACAAACUAAUGGAGGACGCAGAAAUUAAAACGAAAAAUAUAAUUUAAUGAUAAACUUACCAAUGCAAGACUCAUGGACUCCAAGGAAUGGCAAAUACUAUAAAUAAAAAGAGAAAGCAUAAAUUAAAACAAAAAUAAUUCAUACGAUUUAGUAAUUAUAAUCACACAGCGGAGAAAAACAAACAAUCUGGGCUGUUUACUAAAAAGUUCCUUACACCAGCACAAUGGGUCAUCCUAAUGAUGAAUAUCAAAUCAACAUGGGGGCGAUGCACUUAACCGGCUUCUAUGGACUAUAUACGCGCAAACAGUAAAUAACAUUACUAUAGUCGAUUGAGAAUCGAAUAUAAUGCAAAUUUGGAAAGUAGAUGCCGGGACAAACAACAUGAGUCGCGUAAAAUACGUCUGGACCAACCAAAGACCGGCACGAAACUGGCUCCCAACUGUGCAAGCAACAACGCGACAGAUUAUGACAAGAAAGCAAUAGAUGCGCAAAGCCGGCGGCGCGUCGAUGGCACGCGACCUUGUCCGCGAAUUCAAUAGACACGUACUUAAUGCAAUAAGAACUAAACUACGAGUAAAAUGUGCUGCAUGCGACAGCGCGACCAGAAUCUUACCCGUAGCAUCUCGCACGACUAAUGCGAUAAGAAAGUUGUUUAUACACAAACGUUGAUAAUAGAUUUGUCUUCAAAACGAAUACAA
Molecule: long non-coding RNA, 848 nt
Organism: Dalotia coriaria
Lineage: Eukaryota; Metazoa; Arthropoda; Insecta; Coleoptera; Staphylinidae
Exons: 2
Source: RefSeq, a predicted model, not a curated record